RNAcentral lists this ribosomal RNA (301 nucleotides) under uncultured bacterium. RNAcentral describes it as "partial 16S ribosomal RNA". It matches the Rfam family "Bacterial small subunit ribosomal RNA", at positions 509 to 807 of the family's 1533-position model. The record is from RNAcentral.
CAGUAGCCACGGUAAUACGUAGGGGGCGAGCGUUGUCCGAAGUUACUGGGCGUAAAGAGCGCGUAGGCUGGUCUUUAAGUGAGUGGUGAAAGGUUCGGGCUCAACCCGGACACUGCCUUUCAUACUGGGGACCUUGAGUGUGGGAGAGGCGAGUGGAAUGGUCGGUGUAGUGGUGAAAUGCGUAGAGAUGUGGAGGAACACCAGUGGCGAAGGCGACUCUCUGGUCUGUAACUGACGCUGAGGAGCGAAAGCGUGGGGAGCGAACAGGAUUAGAUACCCGCGUAGUCCCUGUCUCUUAUAC